GCCGGGCAUAGUGGUGCGCGCCUGUAAUCCCAGCUACUCAGGAGGCUGAGGCAGGAGAAUCGCUUGAACCCGGGAGGCAGGGGUUGCAGUGAGCUGAGAUUGAGCCACUGCACUCCAGCCUGGGCAACAGAGUGAGAGUUUGUCUCAA
Gorilla gorilla gorilla (western lowland gorilla) is the source of this 148-nucleotide non-coding RNA. It matches the Rfam family "Metazoan signal recognition particle RNA". Rfam says of the family: The signal recognition particle (SRP) is a universally conserved ribonucleoprotein. It is involved in the co-translational targeting of proteins to membranes. Lineage: Eukaryota; Metazoa; Chordata; Mammalia; Primates; Hominidae. The record is from Rfam.